RNAcentral lists this long non-coding RNA (1092 nucleotides) under Anolis carolinensis (green anole). Its description in RNAcentral is "lncRNA (ENSACAG00000032273.2)". Lineage: Eukaryota; Metazoa; Chordata; Lepidosauria; Squamata; Anolidae. The record is from RNAcentral.
AUGAAGUUUGAAUGGGAAAAAAUAUUAUUCUUCUCUGUCUGUUCCUACUGUAUCUGUGAUUACCAGCUUGCUUUAUACUGCAGUUGUAAGCAGAAAUUAGAACUUGAAAAAGAGAAAACCAGACAGUCUGUGUAUGAUGACCGUGACCCCGGCUUUCAAAUUGAUUUGAACCCGCAGCGGAGAGUUCCGCAGAUUCAUCACCAAAAGGAACGGAGCGGGACCGCAGCAGACUAUUAUUAAAAGAUCUUUUUUUCUUCACUUUCCCCUUCCCUGAACUAUGUAACAAAUCCCCCCAAUAAAAGUAGCAUUCAUUUUUAACAGUAACACUCUCUAUCUGGUUAUUUUGUGUCUCUCUCUGACUCCUUCUUUUGCACGCAAACCCCCCCCCCUUCUCUCUCUCUAACCCGUCCGAUCUUUAAACCCUGGCGGAGGCUUCGCCCGCCAUAGGUUAAUACGGCGGGCGAUACAAAUUGGCUCAUAUCUUUAUCAAAAUUACCCCUAGCACACUCCUCUUUUAGUCCUAACCCUUUCUAAGGCUCCUGACUCGAGGACCACCAACGGAACCAAAAUAGGUCCAGUUCUCGGCACCUCAUCAGCUGACUGUCAAACGGAACCGACUGCUCCUUUCAAGCCAGACUGCUCUCUUCCAGUCUUAUCCCGGACUUUCCUCUCCCCGCGACCCGCGGGAUGGUUUUAGGAGAUCCCUGGUCCCUUUCUGCGAACUGGGGAUGGGGGAUCGCUCUCCCGCUGGGGAGACAUAGUUCUCCAAGGACCUUCACCCUCUCUACAGCUGCCAGGAGGGUGCCUGGUCGGGCGCCCUCCACGUUUCAUUUACACCUUCAUAAUUUUAUGAAUGAGAAGAACACCCUUCCCCGGACCUACUCCUGAACUUAUGAAAUCUUAUACUUCCAAAGACUGCAACCCACAUGUGCCUCUUCCCCAUGCCAUCUCUAUGAAUUCCUUCCACCACAGAUGAACUCUUUUUCCUCAUGUAUCCGUGAAUUUUCAUAUUCUAUGUACCUGGACACCCUCAUGAAUCACUGUUGUAUGAAUUUCUAAUCGUUGGGCUAACUUCAUGAAUUGUGAGAUCAU